UACGGGGGGGGCAAGCGUUGUUCGGAAUUACUGGGCGUAAAGGGCUUGUAGGUGGCCAACUAAGUCAGACGUGAAAUCCCUCGGCUUAACCGGGGAACUGCGUCUGAUACUGGAUGGCUUGAGUGUGGGAGAGGGAUGCGGAAUUCCAGGUGUAGCGGUGAAAUGCGUAGAUAUCUGGAGGAACACCGGUGGCGAAGGCGGCAUCCUGGACCAUAACUGACGCUGAGGCGCGAAAGCUAGGGGAGCAAACGGG
RNAcentral lists this ribosomal RNA (253 nucleotides) under uncultured bacterium. RNAcentral's name for it is "partial 16S ribosomal RNA". It matches the Rfam family "Bacterial small subunit ribosomal RNA", at positions 524 to 776 of the family's 1533-position model. The record is from RNAcentral.